CUUCGAGUCAGAGGCGCUCAGCCAAACAUCGAGCGUCUUCCUCCAACGACUACUGGACCGGUAAUUCACCGUCCCAGCUGUGAAGGAGAAACGUCCUCCGGGAGUCCCACUCGCAGUACGCCACGCCCCACAACCUGCAGGGCUGGAGACUUGGGGAAGAAGCUGUACAGCGUGCUUUGUCGCGACAUGGCCACGGUCGCCAAGGCCCAGCCGCUGUGUCGGACCGAGCCACUAGAGGCACGGCAAGAAAUGUAGGCUCAGGGGGAAUGAGCCAGUUAUAAGACAGAGGUUAAGAGCCAGUGCUUGGGGUAACUCGAGACCUGGCCUCUGACCUAACUCACCAGGCAGGCAUACACUGCAUUGAGGAACCUGCACACCGCAACGAAGAGCAGCCCCCGCUCGCCGCAACUAGAGAAAGCUGCGUGCAGCAACGAAGACCCAAUGCAGCCCAAAAUAAAUAAAUAAAUUUAUAAAG
Lagenorhynchus albirostris (white-beaked dolphin) is the source of this 475-nucleotide long non-coding RNA. RefSeq lists it as uncharacterized. Lineage: Eukaryota; Metazoa; Chordata; Mammalia; Artiodactyla; Delphinidae. The transcript is spliced from 4 exons. The record is from RefSeq and is a predicted model, not a curated record.